UUUAUGGAGAGUUUGAUCCUGGCUCAGGAUGAACGCUGGCGGCGUGCCUAAUACAUGCAAGUCGAGCGAACAGAUAAGGAGCUUGCUCCUUUGAYGUUAGCGGCGGACGGGUGAGUAACACGUGGGUAACCUACCUAUAAGACUGGAAUAACUCCGGGAAACCGGGGCUAAUGCCGGAUAACAUUUAGAACCGCAUGGUUCUAAAGUGAAAGAUGGUUUUGCUAUCACUUAUAGAUGGACCCGCGCCGUAUUAGCUAGUUGGUAAGGUAAUGGCUUACCAAGGCAACGAUACGUAGCCGACCUGAGAGGGUGAUCGGCCACACUGGAACUGAGACACGGUCCAGACUCCUACGGGAGGCAGCAGUAGGGAAUCUUCCGCAAUGGGCGAAAGCCUGACGGAGCAACGCCGCGUGAGUGAUGAAGGGUUUCGGCUCGUAAAACUCUGUUAUUAGGGAAGAACAAACGUGUAAGUAACUGUGCACGUCUUGACGGUA
Molecule: ribosomal RNA, 494 nt
Filed under: Staphylococcus sp. CH99b_3
Lineage: Bacteria; Bacillati; Bacillota; Bacilli; Caryophanales; Staphylococcaceae
Description: bacterial SSU rRNA
Rfam family: Bacterial small subunit ribosomal RNA
Source: RNAcentral